RNAcentral lists this ribosomal RNA (2614 nucleotides) under Acinetobacter baumannii. RNAcentral's name for it is "partial 23S ribosomal RNA". It matches the Rfam family "Bacterial large subunit ribosomal RNA", at positions 322 to 2925 of the family's 2925-position model. The record is from RNAcentral. Lineage: Bacteria; Pseudomonadati; Pseudomonadota; Gammaproteobacteria; Moraxellales; Moraxellaceae.
GUGUGUUUUAGUGGAACGCUCUGGGAAGUGCGAACGUAGAGGGUGAUAUUCCCGUACACGAAAGGGCACACAUAAUGAUGACGAGUAGGGCGAGGCACGUGAAACCUUGUCUGAAUAUGGGGGGACCAUCCUCCAAGGCUAAAUACUCCUGACUGACCGAUAGUGAACCAGUACCGUGAGGGAAAGGCGAAAAGAACCCCUGUGAGGGGAGUGAAAUAGAUCCUGAAACCGCAUGCAUACAAGCAGUGGGAGCACCUUCGUGGUGUGACUGCGUACCUUUUGUAUAAUGGGUCAGCGACUUAUAUUCAGUAGCGAGGUUAACCGUAUAGGGGAGCCGUAGAGAAAUCGAGUCUUAAUAGGGCGUUUAGUUGCUGGGUAUAGACCCGAAACCAGGCGAUCUAUCCAUGAGCAGGUUGAAGGUUGGGUAACACUAACUGGAGGACCGAACCCACUGUCGUUGAAAAGCCAGGGGAUGACUUGUGGAUAGGGGUGAAAGGCUAAUCAAGCCUGGUGAUAGCUGGUUCUCCCCGAAAGCUAUUUAGGUAGCGCCUCGGACGAAUACCAUAGGGGGUAGAGCACUGUUUCGGCUAGGGGGUCAUCCCGACUUACCAAACCGAUGCAAACUCCGAAUACCUAUGAGUACUAUCCGGGAGACAGACUGCGGGUGCUAACGUCCGUAGUCAAGAGGAAAACAAUCCAGACCGCCAGCUAAGGCCCCAAAAUCAUAGUUAAGUGGGAAACGAUGUGGGAAGGCAUAGACAGCUAGGAGGUUGGCUUAGAAGCAGCCACCCUUUAAAGAAAGCGUAAUAGCUCACUAGUCGAGUCGGCCUGCGCGGAAGAUGUAACGGGGCUAAAACUAUGUGCCGAAGCUGCGGAUGUAUACUUUGUAUACGUGGUAGGGGAGCGUUCUGUAAGCCGAUGAAGGUGUGUUGAGAAGCAUGCUGGAGGUAUCAGAAGUGCGAAUGCUGACGUGAGUAACGACAAAACGGGUGAAAAACCCGUUCGCCGAAAGACCAAGGGUUCCAGUCCAACGUUAAUCGGGGCUGGGUGAGUCGACCCCUAAGGCGAGGCCGAAAGGCGUAGUCGAUGGGAAAAUGGUUAAUAUUCCAUUACUUCUGUGUAAUGCGAUGAGAGGACGGAGAAGGCUAAAUCAGCCUGGCGUUGGUUGUCCAGGUGAAAGGAUGUAGGCAUGUAUCUUAGGCAAAUCCGGGGUACUCUAUGCUGAGAUCUGAUAGCAAGCUGUACUUGUACAGCGAAGUGGUUGAUGCCAUGCUUCCAGGAAAAGUCUCUAAGCUUCAGUUACACAGGAAUCGUACCCGAAACCGACACAGGUGGUCAGGUCGAGUAGACCAAGGCGCUUGAGAGAACUCUGCUGAAGGAACUAGGCAAAAUGGUACCGUAACUUCGGGAGAAGGUACGCUGUUGUUGGUGAUGGAACUCGCUUCCUGAGCUGACGACAGCCGCAGAAACCAGGCCGCUGCAACUGUUUAUUAAAAACAUAGCACUCUGCAAACACGAAAGUGGACGUAUAGGGUGUGAUGCCUGCCCGGUGCUGGAAGGUUAAUUGAUGGGGUUAGCGUAAGCGAAGCUCUUGAUCGAAGCCCCAGUAAACGGCGGCCGUAACUAUAACGGUCCUAAGGUAGCGAAAUUCCUUGUCGGGUAAGUUCCGACCUGCACGAAUGGCAUAAUGAUGGCGGCGCUGUCUCCAGCAGAGGCUCAGUGAAAUCGAAAUCGCUGUGAAGAUGCAGUGUACCCGCGGCUAGACGGAAAGACCCCGUGAACCUUUACUGCAGCUUGACACUGAACUUUGACCUUACUUGUGUAGGAUAGGUGGGAGGCUUUGAAGCUGGAACGCUAGUUCCAGUGGAGCCGUCCUUGAAAUACCACCCUGGUAAUGUUGAGGUUCUAACUCUGUCCCGUGAUCCGGGACGAGGACCGUGUCUGGUGGGUAGUUUGACUGGGGCGGUCUCCUCCUAAAGAGUAACGGAGGAGUACGAAGGUGCGCUCAGCGUGGUCGGAAAUCACGCGUAGAGUAUAAAGGCAAAAGCGCGCUUAACUGCGAGACCCACAAGUCGAGCAGGUACGAAAGUAGGUCUUAGUGAUCCGGUGGUUCUGUAUGGAAGGGCCAUCGCUCAACGGAUAAAAGGUACUCUGGGGAUAACAGGCUGAUACCGCCCAAGAGUUCAUAUCGACGGCGGUGUUUGGCACCUCGAUGUCGGCUCAUCUCAUCCUGGGGCUGAAGCAGGUCCCAAGGGUAUGGCUGUUCGCCAUUUAAAGAGGUACGCGAGCUGGGUUUAGAACGUCGUGAGACAGUUCGGUCCCUAUCUACCGUGGGCGCUGGAAAUUUGAGAGGAUCUGCUCCUAGUACGAGAGGACCAGAGUGGACGAACCUCUGGUGUACCGGUUGUGACGCCAGUCGCAUCGCCGGGUAGCUAUGUUCGGAAGGGAUAACCGCUGAAAGCAUCUAAGCGGGAAGCCUACCUCAAGAUAAGAUUUCCCUAGGACUUUAUGUCCUCUAAAGAGCCGUUCGAGACUAGGACGUUGAUAGGUUGGAUGUGGAAGCAUAGUGAUAUGUGAAGCUGACCAAUACUAAUUGCUCGUGAGGCUUGACUAU